AUCGACAUGCGGUAUACUGCGGA
RNAcentral lists this non-coding RNA (23 nucleotides) under Arabidopsis thaliana (thale cress). Lineage: Eukaryota; Viridiplantae; Streptophyta; Magnoliopsida; Brassicales; Brassicaceae. The record is from RNAcentral.